Molecule: long non-coding RNA, 338 nt
Filed under: Manihot esculenta (cassava)
Lineage: Eukaryota; Viridiplantae; Streptophyta; Magnoliopsida; Malpighiales; Euphorbiaceae
Description: long non-coding RNA (MESC_LNC007555)
Source: RNAcentral
UACGGAUGUGUCAGGCGCCUGCUCCAUGCGUAACGACCAUUAAUUCUCCUCUGAUACGUAUGAUUCUCCUCUAAUACGCAUGCGGAAUGACCUACCAGCGGGGCAUCUUGGUCAUUUUCCCCUUUCCGGGCUGGGUUGAAUGGUAGGGCUGAAGUUGAGCCUGGUGAGGGCCUGAUUACUGGGCCGAGAGGUUUGGGCCGGUUUGAUUGAGGAGUCUAGGCGGAGUCCGGCCCUGUGACUGAGCGGGCUGGACCUGGCUCUCGAGGGGAAUAUUGAAACCUUCGGAUCAUGGACUGUUUUCAUGGAUCUGGCCUUUAUACCGGGGUGAAGAAAUCCAG